This 468-nucleotide ribosomal RNA is filed under the name uncultured bacterium. RNAcentral's name for it is "partial 16S ribosomal RNA". It matches the Rfam family "Bacterial small subunit ribosomal RNA", at positions 28 to 507 of the family's 1533-position model. The record is from RNAcentral.
GACGAACGCUGGCGGCGUGCUUAACACAUGCAAGUCGAACGGAAAGGCCCUGCUUUUGUGGGGUGCUCGAGUGGCGAACGGGUGAGUAACACGUGCGUAACCUGCCCUUGACUUUGGGAUAACUUCAGGAAACUGGGGCUAAUACCGGAUAGGAGCUCCUGCUGCAUGGUGGGGGUUGGAAAGUUUCGGCGGUUGGGGAUGGACUCGCGGCUUAUCAGCUUGUUGGUGGGGUAGUGGCUUACCAAGGCUUUGACGGGUAGCCGGCCUGAGAGGGUGACCGGCCACAUUGGGACUGAGAUACGGCCCAGACUCCUACGGGAGGAAGCAGUGAGGAAUAUUGCACAAUGGGCGGAAGCCUGAUGCAGCAACGCCGCGUGCGGGAUGACGGCCUUCGGGUUGUAAACCGCUUUCGCCUGUGACGAAGCGUGAGUGACGGUAAUGGGUAAAGAAGCACCGGCUAACUACGUG